UGGGGAUAUUGCACAAUGGGGGAAACCCGUAGUAUGCAGCGACGCCGCGUGAGUGAAGAAGUAUUUCGGUAUGUAAAGCUCUAUCAGCAGGAAAGAUAAUGACGGUACCUGACUAAGAAGCCCCGGCUAACUACGUGCCAGCAGCCGCGGUAAUACGUAGGGGGCAAGCGUUAUCCGGAUUUACUGGGUGUAAAGGGAGCGUAGACGGAAAGGCAAGUCUGAUGUGAAAAUCCGGGGCUCAACCGCGGAACUGCAUUGGAAACUGUUUUUCUUGAGUGCCGGAGGGGUAAGCGGAAUUCCUAGUGUAGCGGUGAAAUGCGUAGAUAUUAGGAGGAACACCAGUGGCGAAGGCGGCUUACUGGACGGUAACUGACGUUGAGGCUCGAAAGCGUGGGGAGCAAACAGGAUUAGAUACCCUGGUAGU
This 424-nucleotide ribosomal RNA is filed under the name uncultured Blautia sp. Its description in RNAcentral is "bacterial SSU rRNA". It matches the Rfam family "Bacterial small subunit ribosomal RNA", at positions 356 to 794 of the family's 1533-position model. The record is from RNAcentral. Lineage: Bacteria; Bacillati; Bacillota; Clostridia; Lachnospirales; Lachnospiraceae.